RNAcentral lists this ribosomal RNA (489 nucleotides) under uncultured bacterium. RNAcentral describes it as "partial 16S ribosomal RNA". It matches the Rfam family "Bacterial small subunit ribosomal RNA", at positions 28 to 523 of the family's 1533-position model. The record is from RNAcentral.
GACGAACGCUGGCGGCGUGCUUAACACAUGCAAGUCGAGCGGAAAGGCCCUUUCGGGGGGACUCGAGCGGCGAACGGGUGAGUAACACGUGAGUAAUCUGCCCUUGGCUUUGAUAUAACAAACGGAAACGGUUGCGAAUUCCGGAUAGGACGCGCACCGGCCGCGGCGUGCGUGGCAAGUUUUUUCGGCCAGGGAUGUGCCCGCGGCCUAUCGGCUUGUUGGUGGGGUAAUGGCCUACCAUGGCUUCGACGGGUAGCCGGCCUGAGGGGGUGACCGGCCACACUGGGACUGAGACACGGCCCAGACUCCUACGGGAGGCAGCAGUGGGGAAUAUUGGACAAUGGGCGGAAGCCUGAUCCAGCAACGCCGCGUGAGGGAUGACGGCCUUCGGGUUGUAAACCUCUUUCAGUACCGACGAAGCGCCGAUGAUGGUGGUGACGGUAGGUACAGAAGAAGCACCGGCCAACUACGUGCCAGCCGCCGCAGUAA